This 83-nucleotide transfer RNA is filed under the name Fasciola gigantica. It matches the Rfam family "tRNA". From Rfam's summary of the family: Transfer RNA (tRNA) molecules are approximately 80 nucleotides in length. Their secondary structure includes four short double-helical elements and three loops (D, anti-codon, and T loops). The record is from Rfam by way of RNAcentral. Lineage: Eukaryota; Metazoa; Platyhelminthes; Trematoda; Plagiorchiida; Fasciolidae.
GGCCUCGUAGCUCAGCUAGUAGAGCACUGGCGGUACUAAAGUGGGGUGGUAACCAUGCGCGGGUUCGAUUCCCGCCGGGGCCG